UGCCUAUUGAAGUAUGACGGGCAGCCGACGGAACACUUAGGCCGAUGACAGUGUGGGUGGAGAUGGAGAUUGAUGUUAUGAAACAGGGAACAAACACGACUCUCCCCAACCCCACCCCUGCCCAGAUAACUCAGGCUAGCAUGCUUGCUCCUUCAUCAGCAAUGCAGCUGCCUUCACUGAUGCAACCAAAUUCUUUUGCUUACAACAAUCUCCCUUCUCAUCCAGUUCCUAUACUGAGACGAAGAUGAGCUUGUCUCUCUUUUGAAUGGGAUUGUGAUCCCCCACAGGAAUGAAUGUAUGGUGUCAGGAAUGCUGAGCUUUCACCAUCCAGACAAACCAGAAUGGAUUGGAUCAAAAGGUUGCUCAGCAUCUCUGACACUCUCGCCUACACAUCCCUGAUCCAUGCUUCUUUGAGCUUUCCUUCUAUCUCUCUUUAGCGCAUCCUUUCCGUUUCCUUUCUAUCGCUCAUUGAUGGCACUCUGAAUAUGCUUCAGGCCUGCAAGAGUUCUGAUGCUUCCAGUUCCCUGAGAAUCUCUUCCUUCCCCUGUGUACCUUUGCCUUGUGUCAAUUAUAAAUUCAUCUGUCCCUUUGCCAUUUAACUCUUUUGUGGCUGAAAGGAUUGUCAACCUAUUUGAAGCCGCUCACCUAAGAAAUGCUUUCAUGAUCUCCUCUUGCCACUACAAUAAACGCUAUCUAUCUG
RNAcentral lists this long non-coding RNA (700 nucleotides) under Podarcis muralis (Common wall lizard). RNAcentral's name for it is "lncRNA (ENSPMRG00000018109.1)". Lineage: Eukaryota; Metazoa; Chordata; Lepidosauria; Squamata; Lacertidae. The record is from RNAcentral.